Molecule: ribosomal RNA, 253 nt
Filed under: uncultured bacterium
Lineage: Bacteria
Description: partial 16S ribosomal RNA
Rfam family: Bacterial small subunit ribosomal RNA
Source: RNAcentral
UACGUAGGCAGCGAGCGUUGUUCGGAGUUACUGGGCGUAAAGAGUGCGUAGGCGGUUUUCUAAGUUUGGUGUGAAAUCUCCCGGCUUAACUGGGAGGGUGCGCCGAAGACUGGAAGGCUUGAGUAUGGGAGAGGUAAGCGGAAUUCCUGGUGUAGCGGUGAAAUGCGUAGAUAUCGGGAGGAACAUCAGUGGCGAAGGCGGCUACCUGGCCCAAUACUGACACUCAGGUGCGACAGCGUGGGGAGCAAACAGG